CGUUUAUUGUCUUUUUCAAUUUGACGUCGUCUGGUUAAUAUUGUUAUGUUUUGUUACUGAUUUUUGCUUCAUCGUGUAGGAAUAAGCCACUUCUCUUUUGUAAAUCAAUAUUGUUAUGUCUUGUUUCUUGAUUUUUAUUACAUUACUGUUUAUCAAUCUCCUGUUACCGAUAAAUGGAAAGAAUGUUAUCGCCUCCCUGAAAAAUGCUCUGGGUUUCCUGUAGUGGCUGCUAAAAGUCAGUUUGAUUUUGGCAAACAUAAUGAAGGGACAAUCCAACAUCCUUGUAUCAGGGGCCUACUCACGAGAGUAGCUCAACUGAUUUCCUAACGAAGCCAAUAAAUAAAUCCAACUUUUAGUGUUCACAACCUAAGUGUUUAGCCUUGAAAUUGUACUUGUUAACCUUGUGAAACCAUAUUCAGCAAGGGGAUUGAGGGCUGUUAACUAUUUCUGACUUUCUUUCUAAUAAUAAUUUUAAAAAGCACCGAAAUUAUGAAAGAAAAUUUUAAGCCAAGGAAAUGGAGCUUAAGGAUGGAAAAAGGCGAAAUGAUUUGGCAGUGUGAGAUGGGUUUUCGUUUAUCCAUGAAAAAGAUAACAAUGGUGGUUAUGAAAGGAACUUGAAUGGAUCAAGGUAAUUCAAAGAAUUAUAAUAAUCAGUAAAGUGAUCAGAUGAUUCUUUUUUCUUUUGCAUCUUCAUACUUCACAUAUAAAAUCUUUAUGGAUAUUUGUGCUCCAAAUUGGAACCUUUAAGUUGAUAAGAAAGAAAAAAAUUUAAAGUUGAUAAAGAAAAGUUUGAUCAGUUUGAAGUCCAAGCUGAACUUGGAUGAGCUUGUAUUGAGAAAGGACAAAACCUCAGCUCGGAUGGUGACUACCCUGUUAAAUGUUUAUAGCUCCUGAAAAGAUCCAAUAGUUAUGUCUAUCUAUUUUUUUGCACUCAUCAAAUAUAUAUGUGUUAUACCCGAGCAUUAUUUGUCUUAAUUUCAAUUUUUUAUUCAUUUAUAUUUAUGUUUUCCACUGAUAUGAUUCUCCUGGAAGUUUGGCAUCGAUGUAUUGAUUUUUUGUUGAAGUACCUCUACAACCACAUCAUUUGCACAACCGUCCAGAAUUGUAUAAAGUGAUGAUAGUGAGGGUAGCUCCAUACGAGCACUCAGUCUAAAAACAGGAGGAUCAAGAUUGCUAGUUGGUGGUGAUCUUUUUUCUCAGACAAUUUGUUCAAGAUUUCGAAGAUGGCUUCUGGUACAAGAAGGACCCUAACUAGAUGUGCAAAGGUUGUUCAUAAGAAUCAGAGUGUUGAACUGACUCCUGAAAUUGCUGCAAACACUGCCAAUAUUGUGGCAAAGAACUGUUAUGUCAAUGACCAUAUGAACUGUUUAGGCAAACCAACUUGGGGAAUCUGUCGGUCCUAUACAAUUAUUUCAUGACACUCGUUGGAGCACUGAGAAAGGGUGGGAUGAUCAAGCAAGAGAGCUAUAUGUAAGUUGAUCAUCUUUCAAUUAUCGGUCCUGUAUAAUUAUUUCAUGACUUAUUGAUUAUGCAUUGAGUUGAUGGUAGGAAAAAAUGAUAGAGCUACAAGAUGAAACACAAGCAGGGGAAAGUGAAAAAACAGAAGCAGAAAUAUGUGAGGAAGUUCUGGGUAAAGCUUCCGGAUUUAAUCAAAAUUUUGCAUUUUCACACACUGAGCAUCAUGAUACUACAGCAGAAGCAGAGUUAAGGUGCAUAGUACAACAACAAGAAAAUAAAAUUAAACAGUUGGAGGAGCAGCUCAUCUUAGUUGAUCAACAAAACAGAAAAUAAAACCCUUGAACAACAACAAUUUGUCCUGUUGGAGAUGAUGAAGCAGUUAACUAUAGCCCUUGAACUACAACAAUCUGAUAAGCUCCAACUCAACAGCCAUCGCCAUCUCCAACUGCUGAAGACUCAUCCUCAUCAGCUACAGCUAUUUCAAAAACCUCAACUGGUGACACUUGAGAUGCUCUAGAUAUUGAUGGUUAGUUUUUUGUUGUAUGGGCGGUAUAUAUUUUGACAUGGGGGUAGGACCAUCUUUUUAGGAUUGUUUGCAUAUAUUUGUUAGAUGGUGUACAUGGGGUGGACAUUUUUUUGUUAGUUAUGCACAUAUAGAUAGCUAUUGAUGAAAAUGUGGGUGCAUACUUUUUUUUGGGUUAUGCACACUUGAUUGUGCAUUCUGGAUUUUUAUUGCUCCUAAUGCAUAAAAAUACAUGUAUGGACUAUAUAUAUAAAUAUAUAUAUGUAUGAAAAUAAGAUAUUUGAUGUUAGUGUUCAUAUUUUUA
Pistacia vera is the source of this 2285-nucleotide long non-coding RNA. RefSeq lists it as uncharacterized. The transcript has 4 exons. Lineage: Eukaryota; Viridiplantae; Streptophyta; Magnoliopsida; Sapindales; Anacardiaceae. The record is from RefSeq and is a predicted model, not a curated record.